This 346-nucleotide ribosomal RNA is filed under the name uncultured fungus. RNAcentral describes it as "SSU rRNA". It matches the Rfam family "Eukaryotic small subunit ribosomal RNA", at positions 20 to 370 of the family's 1831-position model. The record is from RNAcentral. Lineage: Eukaryota; Fungi.
GUAGUCAUAUGCUUGUCUCAAAGAUUAAGCCAUGCAUGUCUAAGUAUAAGCAAUCUAUACAGUGAAACUGCGAAUGGCUCAUUAAAUCAGUUAUCGUUUAUUUGAUAGUGCCUUACUACAUGGAUAACCGUGGUAAUUCUAGAGCUAAUACAUGCUAAAAACCCCGACCUCUGGAAGGGGUGUAUUUAUUAGAUAAAAAACCAAUGGCUUCGGCCUCUAUGGUGAAUCAUAAUAACUUCACGAAUCGCAUGGCCUUGCGCCGGCGAUGGUUCAUUCAAAUUUCUGCCCUAUCAACUUUCGAUGGUAGGAUCGUGGCCUACCAUGGUUGCAACGGGUAACGGGGAAU